This 3331-nucleotide long non-coding RNA is filed under the name Sus scrofa (pig). RNAcentral's name for it is "lncRNA (ENSSSCG00040048778.1)". The record is from RNAcentral. Lineage: Eukaryota; Metazoa; Chordata; Mammalia; Artiodactyla; Suidae.
GGCAGCACCUGCAGGAGCAGAGGCUCAGAGCCCCACUGGCCUCCCCACAGGGCGCCCCUCUGUCCACCCACAGGGUGGCUGACUAACCACAGCACCUGUCUUCAGCCAGGAAGCUGAGGGUCUCUGGAGCAGGGUGAAGGGAGCACGCAGACCUGCCCACCUCCCUCCUGCCAGGACAGCCCCUGGGAGCAUCCUUUGCCCCUCUGCCCACCUCCAUGUGGGCUGGGCUAUCUCUGCUGGCCCCAGCCAUGCCCUCAGUGGGUGUCCUUGGACUUGGUCCCUAAGGGGCUGUGGAGUGGCUCUGGGCCCAGCUCCCACCCCAUUCCCCACCUGAGUUGGGAGACUGACUGUUCUCUGACUGCCUGGCUCGGGGCCAGAAGGUCAGUGGUGCAUUCCUGCCCUGGGUUGGGCGGCCCCCACAUGGAUUCUGGGGAAGGAGGCAGGCCCCUUCCUACUGAGAGCAAAAUGAAUAGAAAUAGGGCUGUGCUUACAAAAAGAAGCCCAAUGAAAAUAAAUGAGCCAGUGGCCAGGGAGGAUCCAGAGAAUGAAGUCCCCCCUUUUCAGGCCCCUCUGUUCCCAGUGCUUGGCCAGAUUGCCUUGGCUCAAGUCUGACCCCUGACUUCUUUGCUGUGGGGCCUUGUGAAAACCCUCAGCUUUCCUGCAUCUGUAAGCUACAGAUUGUUAGGAGUAAAUUAGAUGAUGCUCAUCAAAGGUUUAGCCCAGUACCUAGCAUGUGUGUUAAGAAAGUGGGAACUGGAGUUCCCUGGUGGCUCAGUGGGUUAUGGACCCAGCAUUGUCAGUGCUGUAGCUCUGGUCACUGCUCUGGCGUGGGUUUGAUCCCUGGCCCAGGAACUUCAUACUGUGGGCAUAGCCAAAAAAAAGUGAGAACUGUAUGAUCGUUCUAGCCCCAGCCCUGCCACUCACUGACUUGGUGUAUGAUCUUAGGCAAAUUUCUUAUCCUUUCUGAUCCUGAGUCCCCAUGUGCUUCUUCCAGCCUUUAGAGUAAUUCAUUUAGCUCAAAAUCUGUGGCUCAGAACCCUCAGACCUUGGGUAGAACCAGCUACAUAAUUUAUGGGGCUCUUGUUCAUAAAGUAUUAAAGAUUUCAAAUUGGGGACAGAAGGGUAUUAAAUCAACCACAGGGCCCUCCUAAGUGAGGUUGCCUGUGCAUCUGCACAGAUCACGCUACCUAAAACCAGCCUUGCCUUGCAUUGCAGGCUGUGAGCAUAGGAGGCAGGGCUAGGGGUCUGGGCUGCUGCUGUAGCAGCAUUGACUCCUCACCCUUCUAGUCCAAGGGCAUGAUUUUUUUCAUGUUGUGGGUACAGAUGACAAGCUAGAGGCUGCCGCUCUCCCUGGGGCAAGCUGCAGAGGUACCCAUGCAGGCAGCAGCCCCACCACCACCUUACAGCUGAACACACCCCACCUUCCACCUUUGUGACUUUGGACUAGAAGUCAUGUUUGAGCUAUUGCUUGUUCUGUCUUAACCAUCUUAACCAUCGUGCUGUGCUUUUUCCAGAUGUCAUUCAUAUCACUUUCAUGGUUGUGCCUCUGUUUCUGCUGCUCUGUUUCAGGCCCUGUAUAUCAUGUAGGUCAAGUGACUACUUUUUUUGUAAAGGAACUGCUUCUUUGUGAAGUACUGUUAGCUCUGGAGGGCUCUGGUAAAGAUUUGGCUAUUGGCCGAGUUCCCUGGCGGCCUAGUCAAAAAGAGAAAAGACACAUGUGGCGUCUGUUGGAGAGCUAAGAAAUCUAGCCCUAUGCAAAGUUCAGUUGUACAAAAGGAGAGAAAAGACUGAAAUACAACAGUUAUUUAGAAAUCAGUUCAGGAGUUCUCUUCGUGACUCAGCAGUUAACUAACCUGACUAGGAUCCAUGAGGAUGCAGGUUCAAUCCCUGGCCUCACUCAGUGGGUUAAGGAUCCGGCGUUGCCAUGAGCUGUGGUGUAGGUCGCAGAUGGGGCUCGGAUCCCGAGUGGCUCUGCCAGCCUACACCACAGCAAUGCCAGAUCCAAGCCGCAUUUGUAACCUAUACCACAAUUCAUGACCACACCAGAUCAAGGCCAGGGAUUGAACCCGCAUCCUCAUGGAUGCUAGUCGGGUUUGUUAACCACUGCGCCAUGAGGGGAAUUCCCAUUUUGCUCUUAAAGCAACCCUGCAAAGAAGACAAGGAAGACAUUUUUUUCCCCAUUUCGCAGGAGGAGAGGCUCAGAGAUUUGCUAAAUGCCCCAGAAUCAGUGAGCUAAGUGGCAGGCUAAGCACAAGAACCAAGAUUUUUUAAAAAAAUUCUUGCUCCAGUUCCUCUUGGUCCUAUAUGCCUCCCAAACUGUUGACCUUCUUCACUUGAGUUUCAGAUAUUGAGCAUCUAUUCGAAUGGUUUUCCUUGGAAAGGCAGUCUGUUUCUCUGGAAAGAUUUGUUUCAGCUGUGGUGCACUUGAGUGGAGACUAGUGGGUUUCUCUUUUCUUUUUUUCAAGACUAGCAGGUUUCUGCUAGAAGAGCCUAGGACAUGAAACUAGUGUCUUGGAGACCAAUGGGCCCAGAAUGCUCGAUUUUACACGAUGUGAACGUUGAGGCCCAGAGAAGUCAAGCCACUUGCCCAAGGUCACACAGCCAGUUCUCAGCAAAACCAGUUGUGCAGAUUCCCAGUCUCAUGCACCUUGCUUUCCACCAAGACCCAGGACUCUGUUCUGUAGGGUCCUUGGUUCUGUCACUAGAGUGGCGGGAGACAGCAGGGAAGGCAGGAAGCAGUUGGUUUGUGUCACUCACAGCUGCUUGUGUGGCUGCGCCUGCCUCUCACUCCUUCACCCUGUCUCUCUAUCUCGCUGUUUUCCCAGCCCUGAGCCAGCAGCCUUGUCUGCCUCCUGGCUGGGGCGGGAGGGAGGGUUGUGGGCCAGGGGCUUCUCCUCUGUUCAUUGUAAUGGGGCAGAGGAGGGUCCUUCCCGCCCUGGGCGAGGGCUUGCUCAGGUAGGCUGGAGAGAAGGUACUCCAAGGGGGGGGAGGGGGGAAUUUGGGGUGGGAGCCGUGGAACUGGUUUAAUUCUGUGGAUCCGGGGGACUGGGAAAUAAAUCACGUUUUUAAAAGACUUUUCUUUUUAAAAGACAGGCUUAUUUCUGGUCCACUUCCCAUUUUCCUUUGGAAAGAGGGAAGGCCUGCUUAUUGGGGGGAAGAGGUGGGCACAAGCUUGGGUUGUUCCAUGCUUAGGAGUGGGGCUCAGUUUCCAAAGGCUGGGGGAUCUUUUCCUGUCCACCAUCCCUAGCCUGCCCAGAUGCCCAUACCUUAAAGGCCUGGAAGGACAUCAGACACUUCAAGCUGAUUGUUUAAAAAAAAAAAAAAAAAAAAA